Molecule: ribosomal RNA, 724 nt
Filed under: uncultured archaeon
Lineage: Archaea
Description: bacterial SSU rRNA
Rfam family: Archaeal small subunit ribosomal RNA
Source: RNAcentral
GGAAACUGAGGAUAAUACUGGAUAGGCAAUUAUUCCUGCAAUGGUUUUUUGUUUAAAUGUUUUUUCGCCUAAGGAUGGGUCUGCGGCCGAUUAGGUAGUUGGUUAGGUAAUGGCUUACCAAGCCGUUGAUCGGUACGGGUUGUGAGAGCAAGAGCCCGGAGAUGGAACCUGAGACAAGGUUCCAGGCCCUACGGGGUGCAGCAGGCGCGAAACCUCCGCAAUGUGAGAAAUCGCGACGGGGGGAUCCCAAGUGCCAUUCUUAACGGGAUGGCUUUUCAUUAGUGUAAAGAGCUUUUGGAAUAAGGGCUGGGCAAGACCGGUGCCAGCCGCCGCGGUAACACCGGCAGCUCUAGUGGUAGCAGUUUUUAUUGGGCCUAAAGCGUCCGUAGCCGGUUUAAUAAGUCUCUGGUGAAAUCCUGUAGCUUAACUGUGGGAAUUGCUGGAGAUACUAUUAGACUUGAGACCGGGAGAGGUUAGAGGUACUCCCAGGGUAGAGGUGAAAUUCUGUAAUCCUGGGAGGACCGCCUGUUGCGAAGGCGUCUAACUGGAACGGUUCUGACGGUGAGGGACGAAAGUUAGGGGCGCGAACCGGAUUAGAUACCCGGGUAGUCCUAACCGUAAACGAUGCGGACUUGGUGUUGGGGUGGCUUUGAGCUGCUCCAGUGCCGAAGGGAAGCUGUUAAGUCCGCCGCCUGGGAAGUACGGUCGCAAGACUGAAACUUAA